AGGCUGAGCUGUGACGGCGAGGGAAAUUUAGUACCGAAGUUCCUGAUUCCACACUGCCAAGAAAAGCCUCUAGCGAGGGAAAAGGUGCCCGUACCGCAAACCGACACAGGUAGGCGAGGAGAGAAUCCUAAGGUGAGCGAGAGAACUCUCGUUAAGGAACUCGGCAAAAUGACCCCGUAACUUCGGGAGAAGGGGUGCUCAUUAGGGUGAAUAGCCCUGAUGAGCCGCAGUGAAUAGGCCCAGGCGACUGUUUAGCAAAAACACAGGUCUCUGCGAAGCCGCAAGGCGAAGUAUAGGGGCUGACGCCUGCCCGGUGCUGGAAGGUUAAGAGGAGAGGUUAGCGCAAGCGAAGCUUUGAAUCGAAGCCCCAGUAAACGGCGGCCGUAACUAUAACGGUCCUAAGGUAGCGAAAUUCCUUGUCGGGUAAGUUCCGACCCGCACGAAAGGCGUAACGAUCUGGGCACUGUCUCAACGAGAGACUCGGUGAAAUUAUAGUACCUGUGAAGAUGCAGGUUACCCGCGACAGGACGGAAAGACCCCGUGGAGCUUUACUGUAGCCUGAUAUUGAAUUUUGGUACAGCUUGUACAGGAUAGGUAGGAGCCUGAGAAGCCGGAGCGCCAGCUUCGGUGGAGGCGUCGGUGGGAUACUACCCUGGCUGUAUUGAAAUUCUAACCCGCGCCCCUGAUCGGGGCGGGAGACAGUGUCAGGUGGGCAGUUUGACUGGGGCGGUCGCCUCCUAAAAAGUAACGGAGGCGCCCAAAGGUUCCCUCAGAAUGGUUGGAAAUCAUUCGCAGAGUGUAAAGGCACAAGGGAGCUUGACUGCGAGACCUACAAGUCGAGCAGGGACGAAAGUCGGGCUUAGUGAUCCGGUGGUUCCGCAUGGAAGGGCCAUCGCUCAACGGAUAAAAGCUACCCCGGGGAUAACAGGCUUAUCUCCCCCAAGAGUCCACAUCGACGGGGAGGUUUGGCACCUCGAUGUCGGCUCAUCGCAUCCUGGGGCUGUAGUCGGUCCCAAGGGUUGGGCUGUUCGCCCAUUAAAGCGGUACGCGAGCUGGGUUCAGAACGUCGUGAGACAGUUCGGUCCCUAUCCGUCGUGGGCGCAGGAAAUUUGAGAGGAGCUGUCCUUAGUACGAGAGGACCGGGAUGGACGCACCGCUGGUGUACCAGUUGUCUUGCCAAAGGCAUCGCUGGGUAGCUAUGUGCGGAAGGGAUAAGUGCUGAAAGCAUCUAAGCAUGAAGCCCCCCUCGAGAUGAGAUUUCCCAUAGCGUCAAGCUAGUAAGAUCCCUGAAAGAUGAUCAGGUUGAUAGGUCAGAGGUGGAAGCGUGGCGACAUGUGGAGCUGACUGAUACUAAUCGAUCGAGGACUUAACCAA
Molecule: ribosomal RNA, 1374 nt
Filed under: Cytobacillus firmus
Lineage: Bacteria; Bacillati; Bacillota; Bacilli; Caryophanales; Bacillaceae
Description: partial 23S ribosomal RNA
Rfam family: Bacterial large subunit ribosomal RNA
Source: RNAcentral